AGGAGGCUUGGUCUGGAACCUUGGAAUUUGCCUGGUCUGAUUGAUGGAAGUCAUCCAACCCUGUCUCAGUGGUUGACAGAGGCUUUGCAUCAAGCAUCACAGAUAGACUCUGGAGCCCAAGAGCAAGGACCACUGCACAGAGGAAGUCAGAAUCCAAAGAAGACCCCUGCCAAUGAAUGUAGACCAUCUGCAAUAGUCAUUAGUAAAGUUUCUCCUUAUAAAUGUUUCCCUAUCUUAUGUCCAAGAUAUAUAACCCCUAGACUUUCCACUUCUAAAAUAACUUUCCUUCUUGGAAGGAUUUAGUCACUAAAAUGCAUGAAGAAGGCUAGAAGGUAUUAGUGUGCUAGUAUAUUUUAGAGAAAAGGGACCAAGUUAAAGACAGAACUGAAAACCUGGACCUACCUCUAACACUACCUACAUCACAAUGAGGAAAUCCAAGUAUUCAGUGUCCAUAACCAUUAAACAGAGGAAAUGAGUGAAUGAGGACCCUGACACAGCUCAUCUGAACUGAUGAUGCAUAUAAUUAUGACAUCAUCACUGUUGCACAUUUAUAAAAUGAAUUGUACUUUUAACAAAUGAAAAAUAAUAAUCAAA
Molecule: non-coding RNA, 594 nt
Organism: Ictidomys tridecemlineatus (thirteen-lined ground squirrel)
Lineage: Eukaryota; Metazoa; Chordata; Mammalia; Rodentia; Sciuridae
Source: RefSeq, a predicted model, not a curated record